GAGUUUGAUCAUGGCUCAGGACGAACGCUGGCGGCGUGCUUAACACAUGCAAGUCGAACGGUGAAGGGGCCUGCUUUUGUGGGUCCUGGAUGAGUGGCGAACGGGUGAGUAGCAUGUGAGUAACCUGCCCCCUUCUUCUGGAUAACCGCAUGAAAGUGUGGCUAAUACGGGAUAUUCUGGGUCUGUCGCAUGGUGGGCCUGGGAAAGGUUUUUUCCGGUGGGGGAUGGGCUCGCGGCCUAUCAGCUUGUUGGUGGGGUGAUGGCCUACCAAGGCGGUGACGGGUAGCCGGCCUGAGAGGGUGGACGGUCACACUGGGACUGAGACACGGCCCAGACUCCUACGGGAGGCAGCAGUGGGGAAUAUUGCACAAUGGGCGCAAGCCUGAUGCAGCGACGCCGCGUGAGGGAUGGAGGCCUUCGGGUUGUGAACCUCUUUCGCCAGUGAAGCAGGCCUGCUCCUUUUUUGUGGGUGGGUUGACGGUAGCUGGAUAAGAAGCGCCGGCUAACUACGUGCCAGCAGCCGCGGUAAUACGUAGGGCGCGAGCGUUGUCCGGAAUUAUUGGGCGUAAAGAGCUCGUAGGCGGCUGGUCGCGUCUGUCGUGAAAUCCUCUGGCUUAACUGGGGGCUUGCGGUGGGUACGGGCCGGCUUGAGUGCGGUAGGGGAGGCUGGAACUCCUGGUGUAGCGGUGGAAUGCGCAGAUAUCAGGAGGAACACCGGUGGCGAAGGCGGGUCUCUGGGCCGUUACUGACGCUGAGGAGCGAAAGCGUGGGGAGCGAACAGGAUUAGAUACCCUGGUAGUCCACGCCGUAAACGUUGGGCACUAGGUGUGGGGGGCCUUUUCCGGGUUUUCCGCGCCGUAGCUAACGCAUUAAGUGCCCCGCCUGGGGAGUACGGCCGCAAGGCUAAAACUCAAAGGAAUUGACGGGGGCCCGCACAAGCGGCGGAGCAUGCGGAUUAAUUCGAUGCAACGCGAAGAACCUUACCAAGGCUUGACAUGUGCCGGUCUGCUCCGGAGACGGGGUUUCCUCCCUUGUGGGGGCUGGUUCACAGGUGGUGCAUGGUUGUCGUCAGCUCGUGUCGUGAGAUGUUGGGUUAAGUCCCGCAACGAGCGCAACCCUUGUCUCGUGUUGCCAGCACGUUGUGGUGGGGACUCGCGGGAGACUGCCGGGGUCAACUCGGAGGAAGGUGGGGAUGACGUCAAAUCAUCAUGCCCCUUAUGUCUUGGGCUUCACGCAUGCUACAAUGGCCGGUACAGAGGGCUGCGAUACCGUGAGGUGGAGCGAAUCCCUUAAAGCCGGUCUCAGUUCGGAUCGGUGUCUGCAACUCGACACCGUGAAGUUGGAGUCGCUAGUAAUCGCAGAUCAGCAACGCUGCGGUGAAUACGUUCUCGGGCCUUGCACACACCGCCCGUCAAG
This 1416-nucleotide ribosomal RNA is filed under the name uncultured bacterium. Its description in RNAcentral is "bacterial SSU rRNA". It matches the Rfam family "Bacterial small subunit ribosomal RNA". The record is from RNAcentral.